Molecule: ribosomal RNA, 253 nt
Filed under: uncultured bacterium
Lineage: Bacteria
Description: partial 16S ribosomal RNA
Rfam family: Bacterial small subunit ribosomal RNA
Source: RNAcentral
UACGUAGGGGGCAAGCGUUGUCCGGAAUCAUUGGGCGUAAAGAGCGUGUAGGCGGCUCGGUAAGUCCGCUGUGAAAGUCGGGGGCUCAACCCUCGAAUGCCGGUGGAUACUGUCGAGCUAGAGUGCGGAAGAGGCGAGUGGAAUUCCUGGUGUAGCGGUGAAAUGCGCAGAUAUCAGGAGGAACACCGAUUGCGAAGGCAGCUCGCUGGGACGUUACUGACGCUGAGACGCGAAAGCGUGGGGAGCAAACAGG